This 594-nucleotide ribosomal RNA is filed under the name Sphaerophoria macrogaster. RNAcentral describes it as "SSU rRNA". It matches the Rfam family "Eukaryotic small subunit ribosomal RNA", at positions 400 to 926 of the family's 1831-position model. Lineage: Eukaryota; Metazoa; Arthropoda; Insecta; Diptera; Syrphidae. The record is from RNAcentral.
GAAACGGCUACCACAUCUAAGGAAGGCAGCAGGCGCGUAAAUUACCCACUCCCAGUUCGGGGAGGUAGUGACGAAAAAUAACAAUACAGGACUCAUAUCCGAGGCCCUGUAAUUGGAAUGAGUACACUUUAAAUCCUUUAACAAGGACCAAUUGGAGGGCAAGUCUGGUGCCAGCAGCCGCGGUAAUUCCAGCUCCAAUAGCGUAUAUUAAAGUUGUUGCGGUUAAAACGUUCGUAGUUGAACUUGUGCUUCAUACGGGUAGUACAACUACAAUUGUGGAUUGUACAUUACCUUAUGUAUGCAAGCGUAUUAUCGGUGGAGUUCUUAUAUGUAAUGAUACUUGUAUUGUUAUGUAUACCUCCUAUUUAAACCUGCUUCAGUGCUCUUCAUCGAGUGCUGUUGUGGGCCGAUACAAUUACUUUGAACAAAUUAGAGUGCUUAAAGCAGGCUCCAAAUGCCUGAAUAUUUUGUGCAUGGAAUAAUGAAAUAAGACUUCUGAUCUACUUUCAUUGGUUUUUAGAUCAAGAUGUAAUGAUUAAUAGAAGCAGUUUGGGGGCAUUAGUAUUACGACGCGAGAGGUGAAAUUCUUGGACC